GCUGGUGGGGAGACAGCAUGCCACUGGAAAAAUUCGUAGACAUGGAAUUCCUGGAUCAAAUGGAGGAGAUGGAAGAUUGAGAGCAGAGUGCAAGAAUGGGAAGAGGGCUUCGUGCCCUGUGCACGUUUGCCACCUAGUGACCAAACUGAAUGGUGUGCUUCUCACCUCAGCGUGAUAGCCUGACCUUGACUCCUGAGUUCCACGAUCGCUUCACAACUGCAAGUCACCAUCAUACAAAAUUUGAGUUUCCCUAAGUCCGCGCCUUUGAGAGCUUUGGAACGAUAUGCAAGUUCAAGUCACCAUCCUGUUUCUUGCUACCUCCUGUGAGAAGACCAACAUUUGGGUUACACUUGUUUCUACUCUUGUUCUUCUGCUUGUUAUUGUUGCCUCUGCAGCCAUUGAUCACACACGUGUUGUCAUACAAAAACUGGUUAGCCUUUUUAUUUGUCUUGUGAAUUUUAUCAUUUGGUUCUUAAGUAUUACAAAUUAAUAUUGUGUACUCUCAUUGAUAUACAACUUGCAGUCAUUGUAAAUAUGCGUGAGUUAGGGGUGAGAAUGGCAUGCAAGCAAAAGAACAAGGAGAGGGAUGAUAGAGAUGCAAGAAGAGUAAAGAGGGCAAGAAAGUUUAUGUUAAUAGCGAACACAAUGAAAGUUCUUUAAAUGCUUGAUAAUGGUGAAAGCAACACUUCCUAGGGCAUAUUUUUGGUGUUAAUGAACCUACACAUCAUACAAUAAAGAAAAUUGAG
RNAcentral lists this long non-coding RNA (746 nucleotides) under Homo sapiens (human). Its description in RNAcentral is "non-protein coding LINC00632:7". Lineage: Eukaryota; Metazoa; Chordata; Mammalia; Primates; Hominidae. The record is from RNAcentral.